This 496-nucleotide ribosomal RNA is filed under the name uncultured bacterium. RNAcentral's name for it is "partial 16S ribosomal RNA". It matches the Rfam family "Bacterial small subunit ribosomal RNA", at positions 28 to 506 of the family's 1533-position model. The record is from RNAcentral.
GAUGAACGCUGGCGGCGUGCCUAAUACAUGCAAGUCGAGCGAACAGACGAGGAGCUUGCUCCUCUGACGUUAGCGGCGGACGGGUGAGUAACACGUGGAUAACCUACCUAUAAGACUGGGAUAACUUCGGGAAACCGGAGCUAAUACCGGAUAAUAUAUUGAACCGCAUGGUUCAAUAGUGAAAGACGGUUUUGCUGUCACUUAUAGAUGGAUCCGCGCCACAUUAGCUAGUUGGUAAGGUAACGGCUUACCAAGGCGACGAUGCGUAGCCGACCUGAGAGGGUGAUCGGCCACACUGGAACUGAGACACGGUCCAGACUCCUACGGGAGGCAGCAGUAGGGAAUCUUCCGCAAUGGGCGAAAGCCUGACGGAGCAACGCCGCGUGAGUGAUGAAGGUCUUCGGAUCGUAAAACUCUGUUAUUAGGGAAGAACAAAUGUGUAAGUAACUAUGCACGUCUUGACGGUACCUAAUCAGAAAGCCACGGCUAACUACGU